RNAcentral lists this ribosomal RNA (253 nucleotides) under uncultured bacterium. RNAcentral's name for it is "partial 16S ribosomal RNA". It matches the Rfam family "Bacterial small subunit ribosomal RNA", at positions 524 to 776 of the family's 1533-position model. The record is from RNAcentral.
UACAGAGGGGGCAAGCGUUGUUCGGAAUUACUGGGCGUAAAGGGCGCGUAGGCGGCCUUCUAAGUCGAACGUGAAAUCCUCGGGCUCAACCCGGGAACUGCGUCCGAUACUGGAAGGCUUGAAUCCGGGAGAGGGAUGUGGAAUUCCAGGUGUAGCGGUGAAAUGCGUAGAUAUCUGGAGGAACACCGGUGGCGAAGGCGACAUCCUGGACCGGUAUUGACGCUGAGGCGCGAAAGCCAGGGGAGCAAACGGG